RNAcentral lists this long non-coding RNA (275 nucleotides) under Homo sapiens (human). RNAcentral's name for it is "long non-coding RNA NONHSAT067097.2". Lineage: Eukaryota; Metazoa; Chordata; Mammalia; Primates; Hominidae. The record is from RNAcentral.
UUGUGGGGAGGCUUAGGACGGGCGGGUGCAAUCCUCGAAGGGGAGUCUCAGCGACCAUGGGGGACACCAUCCACUCGUCAAGGGAUUCUGGGCCACCCGCCCUUCCUUCUCCACCUUCUACUUCGUCUUUGCCAUUUUUGUGGUGUCCACCAUCUUUCACUGCCACCAGCACCUGGCUCUGGUGCCUGCGCCCUGGGCAUACUCAGCCCGUGUGGUCCUGGCCCCCAGACACCUGCCCCGGGAGGACCUGUUCACUAUCAACUCCAAGGGCCGCC